AAUCAACGCUGGCGGCGUGCCUAACACAUGCAAGUCGAACGAGAAAGUGGAGCAAUCCAUGAGUAAAGUGGCGCACGGGUGAGUAACACGUGACUGACCUACCUUUUAGUGGGGGAUAACCUAGGGAAACCUGGGCUAAUACCGCAUAACACUUACGAGUCAAAGUCCGCCUCGGCGGACGCUGAAAGAGGGGGUCGCGGCCGAUUAGCUAGUUGGCGGGGUAAUGGCCCACCAAGGCGAUGAUCGGUAUCCGGCCUGAGAGGGCGCACGGACACACUGGAACUGAAACACGGUCCAGACUCCUACGGGAGGCAGCAGUGGGGAAUUUUGCGCAAUGGGGGAAACCCUGACGCAGCAACGCCGCGUGGAGGAUGAAGUCCCUUGGGACGUAAACUCCUUUCGACCGGGAAGAUAAUGACGGUACCGGAAGAAGAAGCCUC
This 440-nucleotide ribosomal RNA is filed under the name uncultured bacterium. Its description in RNAcentral is "bacterial SSU rRNA". It matches the Rfam family "Bacterial small subunit ribosomal RNA", at positions 32 to 494 of the family's 1533-position model. The record is from RNAcentral.